Molecule: long non-coding RNA, 993 nt
Filed under: Vulpes vulpes (red fox)
Lineage: Eukaryota; Metazoa; Chordata; Mammalia; Carnivora; Canidae
Description: lncRNA (ENSVVUG00000023983.1)
Source: RNAcentral
CUCUCCCUCACCCUUUGCCUCUCUCCACUUAAAUACUUUAAAAACAAUAGAAUAAAAUAAAAAAUGCAGAUGGGAUUUCCCCUCAGUAUGCCCAAGCCAUACCUACACACUGCUCACCAUUAUCAUCCUACAGGGAUAGAAAACAAGAGCUGGCUCCUGCAUCCCCUGAUGAUUUGAAAGACAACAGCAGGAUUAUAAAUUGCAUUCAUAUGUUCAAAGCUCUGUUGUGUGCCAACUCUCUCAGAAUGAGCAAAAUUAAGAAAAGGAACCCAGAAGCACAUUCGUGACAGCUAAAUAGGAUUUAGAAGCCAAGGGAACCCUGGCAAAGCAUGAAAUUAAAGCAUCCUACCAGGCUGAAUGAAAACAGUUGUCUACUAUUCAAGUCACUGCACCUGCUCUAAACUCCAGAGAUACAGACCACAGCUGCAUCCCCCAAAUGUAUCCUAGAAUUCUCAAGAGUUGGCUGACACAUAAAAGGUCACCCAAUGAGGAAAGUCAAACUGCAGUUCCCCUCAUAAGGAUGAUUUUGGCUACUUGGCAACAAGAAAGAGCUCUAGCGACAGGAUUCUUCAGGGAGGAAAGUUUGUCAACUACCAGAAAGUCGUUGGAAGAGAACAGUUCAGAAAAUGCAGUUGGCAAAGUCGACACCAACAUAUUUGCAGGGUUCCAUGAUGAAAAUAGGACGUCGGUCAAAUAAAGCCACUCGCUACCCACCCUUUGGGGACUCAGCUGAGGCAUUACCUGCUCCAGAAAUUCUUCUGUGAUGCCUCUUUCCUGCCCCCCAGGCUCCAUAUCCAUGGCGACCCAGGCUUCCCUUAUCACAGGUCUUAUCACCAUGUAGAGAAAUUUCCUACUUAGAUACCUGCUUUCGCAUAGACUGGAAGCCUCUGCAGGCUGGGGUCUGUCUCCCCCUUCCUGUGUCCAUCCAGAGCACCAUGCCUAGCACAAAGCAGGUUCUCUGCAACUGUUAGUUGAGCUCAAGUGAACUAAGAC